CCUACGGGGGGCAGCAGUGGGGAAUUUUGCGCAAUGGGCGAAAGCCUGACGCAGUAACGCCGCGUGGAGGAUGAAGGCCUUCGGGUUGUAAACUCCUGUCAGAGGGAACGAGGUAGCCUGGGGCGAAGACCCCCAGGUUGCAGACGGUACCUUCAAAGGAAGCCCCGGCUAAUUCCGUGCCAGCAGCCGCGGUAAUACGGAAGGGGCGAGCGUUGUUCGGAAUCAUUGGGCGUAAAGGGCGCGUAGGUGGUUGGGCAUGUCCACUGUGAAAGUACACAGCUCAACUGUGUUCCGUCGGUGGAAACUGCUUAACUUGAGGCUGGAAGGGGCUGGUGGAAUUCCCUGUGUAGCGGUGAAAUGCGUAGAGAUGGGGGAGAACACUCGUGGCGAAGGCGGCCAGCUGGACCAGUCCUGACACUGAGGCGCGACAGCGUGGGGAG
Molecule: ribosomal RNA, 440 nt
Filed under: uncultured bacterium
Lineage: Bacteria
Description: bacterial SSU rRNA
Rfam family: Bacterial small subunit ribosomal RNA
Source: RNAcentral